GCGAGAGUGGCGGAAUCCGGCAGACGCGCCAGCCUUAGGAGCUGGUGCCCUUUGGGCGUGGGGGUUCGAAUCCCCCCUCUCGCA
This 84-nucleotide transfer RNA is filed under the name Actinomycetota bacterium. RNAcentral describes it as "Actinobacteria bacterium tRNA-Leu". It matches the Rfam family "tRNA". From Rfam's summary of the family: Transfer RNA (tRNA) molecules are approximately 80 nucleotides in length. Their secondary structure includes four short double-helical elements and three loops (D, anti-codon, and T loops). Further hydrogen bonds mediate the characteristic L-shaped molecular structure. tRNAs have two regions of fundamental functional importance: the anti-codon, which is responsible for specific mRNA codon recognition, and the 3' end, to which the tRNAs corresponding amino acid is attached (by aminoacyl-tRNA synthetases). tRNAs cope with the degeneracy of the genetic code in two manners: having more than one tRNA (with a specific anti-codon) for a particular amino acid; and 'wobble' base-pairing, i.e. permitting non-standard base-pairing at the 3rd anti-codon position. The record is from RNAcentral. Lineage: Bacteria; Bacillati; Actinomycetota.